AAUAUAAUAACAUUUGUGCCGUAGACAGCAGGUGCUUAAUUGCUUAAUUUCCUGCCGAGGUAUUACGAUAGAAUUGCUUUUUCUUGCUAUUGUAUACUUCCUCCAUGUCUGCAAAGUCGUGGAGGUUUUUUAUUGGACGG
Bacillus sp. 2_A_57_CT2 is the source of this 140-nucleotide non-coding RNA. NCBI's taxonomy places the organism in Bacteria, Bacillati, Bacillota, Bacilli, Caryophanales, Bacillaceae. The record is from Rfam.